GAAUUUUCCGCAAUGGGCGAAAGCCUGACCCAGCAACGCCGCGUGAAGGAUGAAGUAUUUCGGUAUGUAAACUUCGAAAGAAUGGGAAGAAUAAAUGACGGUACCAUUUAUAAGCUCCGGCUAACUACGUGCCAGCAGCCGCGGUAAUACGUAGGGAGCAAGCGUGGUUCGGAUUUACUGGGCGUAAAGGGCGCGUAGGCGGCCACCGCAAGUCGACUGUGAAAUCUCCGGGCUUAACCCGGAAAGGUCAGCCGAUACUGCGGGGCUAGAGUGCAGAAGGGGCAACUGGAAUUCUCGGUGUAGCGGUGAAAUGCGUAGAUAUCGAGAGGAACACCUGCGGCGAAGGCGGGUUGCUGGGCUGACACUGACGCUGAGGCGCGAAAGCUAGGGGAGCGAACGGG
This 401-nucleotide ribosomal RNA is filed under the name uncultured bacterium. RNAcentral describes it as "bacterial SSU rRNA". It matches the Rfam family "Bacterial small subunit ribosomal RNA", at positions 359 to 776 of the family's 1533-position model. The record is from RNAcentral.